Molecule: ribosomal RNA, 381 nt
Filed under: uncultured eukaryote
Lineage: Eukaryota
Description: SSU rRNA
Rfam family: Eukaryotic small subunit ribosomal RNA
Source: RNAcentral
AGCUCCAAUAGCGUAUAUUAAAGUUGUUGCGGUUAAAAAGCUCGUAGUUGGAUUUCUGUCGAGAACGGUCGGUCCACACUUUGUGUGAGUAUCUGAUUCGGUCUUGGCAUCCUCCUGGGGAACGUUUCUGCGCUUGAUUGCGUGGGGCGGAAUUCAGGACUUUUACUUUGAGGAAAUUAGAGUGUUCACGGCAGGCAAACGCCUUGAAUACAUUAGCAUGGAAUAAUAAUAUAGGACCUUGUUUCUAUUUUGUUGGUUUCUAGAAAUUAGGUAAUGAUUAAUAGGGAUAAUUGGGGGCAUUCGUAUUAACGCGUCAGAGGUGGAAUUCUUGGAUUGCGUUACGACGAACUACUGCGAAAGCAUUUGCCAAGGAUGUUUUCA